AAUUACGUCCAACAUUUGGGGGAGGGGGGGGGGUCUAGAAAAGUGUGACAGUACGUGUAUUGGGUAUAGGAAAAUAGCGUGACAGAGGGGGGAGGGAGGGUCUAGAAAUCCCGAAAAACUAUGGACGUAAUAUUUGAAUCUUCCCUAAAUGAUAUUUUUUGUGGUGAUCUGUGAAAAGGUGCUAAUUGGACGCGAAAAAGUGUGUUCAAAGGACGGACGGCAAAAAGGCCGACGGAGUAUUUCUCUAGAGCGAUAAAUUGCUUAUGAGCAAGAGUGUAAAUGUGUCAAAAGAAAAAAAAAAUUUUUUUUAUUCAGUGUGGUGCCGUUAUGCGGGGUGAUAUUAUACUUCAGCAUUAUGAAACUGAUUGCAGAACGCCAGCUAUUUGUAAUGCUGAAUUUCUCCUGCACACGAAUCAGCCAAGUUUGUCGAUUACCACCAAACCGAAUUUUGUGUAUUAGUUCACAAACAACAAUAGCUCAACUGGUUUCAUUAUUGGUGUUGAGAUAAUUUUAUAUUUUGAAUUUGUUGAAUAGCCCCUCGUCGGAUUUUGUAAUGGUUGACAGCUCGCCCAUGCAUAUACUCAUCUGUCAAAAUGUGAAAUAAAGAAAUCUAUUUGGUAUUUGUUUUUUGAGUAUCAUAAUUAAGUUAUACAAAUCUGAAGAAAAAAUAAUAGUGGUUCAGAAAUGUAGUUCCUUCGUACAAAAUUCAAAAACCCACAACUUUUUUUUGUAAUGUGGAGCAGAUCUGGUGUUAUGGUUAAAUCACGUGACUAUCACGCCGAGGACCUGAUAUCGAAUCCCACUCCCGGCCAACUCACAAAAUGUGAGUUCCUUCUUCGGAAGGGAAAUAAAGCAUGGGUCCCGUGAUGGACUGGCCCAAGGUUAAAAAUCUCGUUAAUACAGAUAAAAAAAUAUAAAAAAAAAUGUUAGAAAAUGAUAAUAUGCAUACUUUACUGCCAUAUUUAUUGGAACAGCUGUAAAUCUUCAACGGCUGUUGUAGGCAAUAAGCAAAAGUAUCACAAGCCUUAGUAAUCCAAAAAUAGAAUGUCAUGAACGCAUAAACAAAACAUAAAAAUUCACACAUUUGUGUAAACCUAACGGGGUUUGUAAGAGAAUAACUAUAGUCAUACAUGACGCAUUUUUUAUACAAUCUGUACGAAUUAUUCUAUGUAUUUAUUAUGCUCUUUGUCUGAACACAAAUAACGUGGCAAUUGUUUUCAUAAAAUGCCUAACAGAUAAAACUUAUGAAAAUAGAUAUGCUUCGAUUAAAUCAUAUGUACAUGAUAUAGAAUAAUAAAUAAAAAAAAAAAUAACAAAAUCUGUUCAUAAAAUUAUUUAUUUUUUUGUUUCUCUUGACAAGUUUUUGCUUUCCAAAAGAUAAUAUUGGCAAAAUGGUUAUGAACUGUAUUGGGUUAAGUUACUCUUCCUUGACACGGUUCAAAUAAUGCUUAACAAAUAACAUUUUAAAGCUUUGUAAAAAAGCUGAGAAGUGCGAUACUCUCCCAAUUGGGACGUAGUUCUACAAUGAGGCAGUGUAAAUAAAAUUCAUUUUCAAUUUUAUAAACUUUAUGAGUAACUUACUCAGAAAAUACUACUCCAUAACUGAAAAUAAAAUUCUUGUUAAAACAAUAUAUGAACAUUUCUAGAUUGAGUUUGAAUGAGGGCAAAAGUAACAUGAUCUAUUUCCAGCAUUUGAUUUUCCAAAUGUUUAAAAUGUUUUAAUCAUGGCUUCAAUACUUAUUUGAAAAUUUUCCACAUUAAAAUUUCACCAUAAAAUAUGUAAUAACAUUUCCUCGUAGUUAAUGUGAUGCUGAUUUUCACCAGUUCCUGGCAAAUAUGGCCCCACAUAACAGAUGUGGAUCUUCGAACAAAUUUGAAGUUUCGAAGUGGAAGUCAUGAAAUUGUCACUUGGAAAACUAGAUUGAAAUGAAUCUCCAUCAACAGACAUCAAGGCGUGCCCGUUGUAGGCUAAAGCUUGACUUCCACCACCAGGUUCGCUAGUGUUCAGCUAUCAAACGAGCAGUGCUUUUCGUAACGAAGAUUUACCCCCUGUGUCCUUAGCCCCGUGCCAUUAAAUAUUCUGGAGCACCUUGCCCAAAUUUCAAAAAGAAAAAAAAAACAAAAUUUCUGAAUUAUUCAAUCAUAAUUUUCAAAACGUAUAAACGUUCCAUCGAACAUGUAUUUGACAAGUCUAUUCUACAGUAAACUCAAUUAUUUCUGGAGGGGCUUUCGACUGAGGUAUCCAGGUUUGAUUUUCGGCGUGACAGUCGCUAUUGCAAUCAAACAAUCAGAUAUUCUCUCUAAUCCGACGUUCCGAUGUGUAUUACAUCUUCUUCAGGGAAUAAGAAGUGUUAAUAGCUUUCGUUUUGAACGGCUUUGUGGAAACAUAAUCCGUCCAAAAAAACUAUUUAAAAAAUACGUUGGAAUCGACUUUUUGAACACUAGAUUUAGCCUAAUUCGGUUCGCACUUCUAACAACACUACUGACAUUUUUUUACUACUUUACUUAAAUAUUUCAAAUGUUGUCAUUAUUCACUCCUUUUUCGGGUUCGAAUAAAAUGCAAUCCCGGUUAGAAUACUAUGCUCGAUCGUAUUAUUCAAAAAAGCGAGAUUUCGUCUUUAAUUUUAGGAACCAAUUAACAUUUAUAUAACUUUGUUAUUCGUUAACUAAUUGUAAAAUUUCAAUUUGAAAUAUACGUGAGAAUGAUUUGUUUUAUUUUCUCUUGGCGGAUUGUCAAAAGCCCAAUCGUCCAAAAAUUUAAAAAAAUUUCUGAAAUUGAUAUCAUAUAUCAUUUUUAACUUCUGAAAAUGUCAAUAGUCCAUGGCGACUCAAAAAGAGCUGUAACGGACCUGGUGUGAUGAUUAAUGGGAUCGAAUUUACUUCCGGAAAAUUCACAAAAUGUGAGUUCCUCCUUCGGAAGGAAUGUACAGCGUGAGUCUUGAGAUAAACUAGCCAACGGCUAAAAAUUGUGUAACACAGAUACAUAAAAAGAGGUGCUCUUUAUGACAAAAUAUGAAUGACAUUAAUUUUCCUAAAUGAGUUUUUUGUAUCCUUUUAAAAGUUUAGAGAAAAUAGAUAAACCAGUCAUAGGAAUGAAGUGGCAACAUUUUUCAGAAAUUUUAACGCAGAAUAAUCCUAAAAUUUGCAAAAAAAUGUUUUGGAAAACAUCCUAAACCAAUUUUAGCAAACCUGCACCAAUAAAAAAGGCGUGUUGAAAUUUGUUUACUUGAUAGCGGAAACUGCUACCUCAGAAAGAGGAUUUUCUUUUUAAAAAUACUUUUGAAACCUCCAAAAAAUUAAAAAAUAAAAACAACUAUUAAUUAUUUUUAUUUUUGCUUUAUUUAUUAAUGCAACUGUAAAAGUUACAAAAUAAACUCUAGAUACAAUUUUGAGAGAGCAAGCUGAUUAUCUUACAAACUUACUUAUGUAAUUCUUAACACUUAAUUAAAUACAAUUUUCAAUACAUACUUCAAUUAUUUUUACAAAUAUUUUAGUUAAAUUUUAGGUAUCUCAAAGUAUUCUUCAAAAUGUAUAAUAUACAUUCUUAUUGCACUUUUUGAAUAUUUAUUGUCAUGAAAAAAAAAACGAAAAAUUGUUAAGUGUUGUCCAAUAAGUCCAGAAAAAAAAUUUCAAGUGCAAAUUGCUAGGAUUUGUUUUUGAACACAUUUCAGAAAAAAAAUUGAUAGAAGAGUUUUUUAAAGCCGGUUCUAAUGAAACUGGGCAAAAGAUUUUAAAUUUAUUGACGUUUGUAAAUGGAAAUACAAUUUGCAAUUUUUUUUCUAAUUAAUAACAUGUCGUUCUAACAAAGUAAUACAAGAACUCUUUUGGGAAACACAGAAGAACUUCUGGAAGAAAUCAAGUGCAAUUUUGUUAACAUUUUAGAAAAAAAAUCGAAAAUUAUUCUGUUGCUGAUAUGUAGUUAUUGCAAAAAUAGCAAAUAUUUCUUAUGGAAAUUUAAUACAAAUAUUUUUCAAAUAUACUUAAAAGUUGAGUUUGGAUCCCUACCAUAUUUUUCUCAAGAACUGCUCCAGAGAUUACUCCAAUGGUUCUCUUACCUUCUUGGAAUUCUGCUAUCAAAUUUUUGAGAACUCUCGUCAGGAACUGCUAUUGGAAUAAGCUAAAAAUUUCUGGAAAAAUCCAAAUGAAAUUGCCUCCUUCAUCAAAUUCCAUAACAUAUUUCAGGUGCAUUUCCGCUUUUAAAAACUUCGUCAGUGCAUCUUUUCAACAUUAUAAUAAAUUACUUCAAGAAAGAUUCGGGCUACAUAGCACCCUAAGGCUUUAUGACAAUUCAGUAACAAAUUUUGAAAACGACGUAUAAGCAAUGCUACACCAUUGCUUAUACGUCGUUUUCAAAAUUUGUGAAUGAAUUCAUAGUCUAAACGACGAAUAAUGGAUCAAGGGUUUAUAUUGGCUCAUUAUUUGAUGUUUGUUCUAUGUUAAACACAAACGUGUUGAAAUCUCAGUUCAACAAUGCAAUGUUCUUGCUCACUUGUAAUUUGCUUAAAAUCAAAUGAUCAGAAGCACUGUUUUGGGAUUUUAUUAGAUUUACGUGCUGGGCAUCGCGGCGAGAAGGUACAAAAGUCAGCCAUUGUGACGGCCAUAUUGCGGUUCCAAUGAGUUUGUCUUUGUUUUCAGUUUGUUUGUUUUUCAAUAUUGUGUCCUACCCCUGGCUUCAAAUGUAAAUUUUGAGAAGAAUUUCAAAAAAAAAAAUCAGGCGAAGUUGUUAAUGAAAAUGUGCCUCGAAUACUUGAGAAAUUCCAUCAGUAAGUUUUCCAAAAUUGCAUCCAUGAAUAUAGGCAAAAAACAGAUUGCCAACAUCACACGCUGAGAGAAUCUUUGUCUCAGUAAAGCAUCCGGCAGGUGUUUUUAAAUGACUUUCUCCAUAACAAUAUCGCUGUAGUCUCUCACAAGAUUUUUAACUCGUUCUCCUUCAUGAUAUUAUACAUUAGAAUAACUACCCUAAUAAACCAAUACCAUACACGGACCGUAAUGUAGAUGGUUCAACAAUACCGUAACUGGUCGAACUGUAUGCCAAAUGGUUGGUUAAGCACGUCUUAAGGUCUUAACGUGACAAACAUUUUGCCAAACAAGGUAAACAAAUGGCCAACACAACGUAAAUCAUAGCAACCUUGGAUAAAUGUUGGACUUCAAGCACAGAGAACAGACGUUUAAGCUCGAACAAAAAUACGUCGAAAUCGUGUGUAAAGGAUUUACGUGUACCUUAACGCCACCAACGGAGACUGCCCCACAUAUAAAGUCGAUUUGACCCCACGAUGGCAGUGUUCUUCGUUAAAAUACACUAGCCCACAAAGCGACACGAGCGCCAAACGGCCAAAAACGGCGAACACUGGAAACAAAUAUGACAACACAACAAUGUAAGUGAUGGGACGCUAGCGCCGCUCAACGGUAGCAUAACCACAUACUCUGAAAAGACCGUUACAAAGUUUUACACAAGGCAGAAAGCGAAGAUAGACGUCUGUUCUCUGUGCUUCAAUGGCAAACAUUUGCCAUUAUGACAAACAGUCUAAUGGCACCUUCAUGGUUAUGGUUUAUGCGAGUAGCCACAGAAGUUCAAUGUUGCUACUGUUCUGGCAAUAAAUCGGGAUUUGGAAUGUUGCCCAAAUUGUUGAUAAUUGUCGUUUCCAUUUCUUUCAGUAAUUAUUUCGAGAAUUUCGAGGAAUACCACUGGAAUGCUUUCCAAAGAGUGUGGACAUGAAAUUUGUCAUCAAUUCGUAUACGAAAUCUUCCAUUGAAUCCAUUUGCGACCUUUUCAGGGAUUUGUCUUUCAUUUUACCGACCAUCUUGUGAAGGGCAUAGUUCUGAAAUUGCGUGUUUUUUCUUCUAGAAACUGCAAGUCCACUCAAUGACAUGUCUGCUACGAGAUUCCUCAAACGGAGUGACAAGACUCCCUCUUGGGAGCAUCCACAAACACUCAGUUCACUGAUCGCUGCUUGACGGGAAGCAUGUACGCAAGACAUUUCUUAUGCUGAGGAAACAAGGAUUCGUUGCUGAUGUUAAGCCUUAAGGAACUUAUGGAACCCGUUGCUUAGAGGUUUGCUUUUUUAGGUUUUUCUUGGGAAAUCUGUCAAACUACUGUCACACACACGCAAACGUAUGCAUUGAGUGGGAACCUCAUAAGUGAUUUGACUAUUUCCACAGUCAACAUCUGUCCCUUGCAAUAACUUAAAACUAUGAAAGAAAAUGCAGUGCUAGUUUCUAGUAUGAUUUUUUUCUGUAAAUUCUGCCAAUGUUGACAUGUUUAACCCUAGUAGAUGUUUGGGUCAAUAUGACCCAGACAGGCACGCCAAACGUGCACUACACCAUCGUGGUGCGAAAAACCUAACUUCUUAGGAGGGUUAAGGUGAAUAUAUAACGAAGCCACACCUCGAUUUUUCGAGAGCACACAUCUGAAGAACCGAAUGUCGGUUUGAGCUAAAAAGUUGAUCGAUUGGUUACCCGCUGGUGGCGACCAAUCGAUCAACUUUUCAGUGCAAACCGACAUUCGGUUCUUCAGAUUUGUGCUCUUGAGAAUUCGAGUUGUGGCUUCGUUAUAUAUUCACCUUAAAAUUUCAUUGAAUCUGUAAUUGGGUUGUUCUCAGUCAUCAAUGCAUAACUUAUUUAUUUGCAAAACAUACUGGAACACUUGGAUACUACCUAGAGGUGACCUCCCUAAGUACAAGUAACUCCGUGUAACUGGACUGAUGUUUACGCAUGAUAUUUGGUGCAAGCUUAAUGGACGACACGUACCUGAUGUUAUUUAUGGUACUUAUAAUAAAUCAAGCAUAUUUCAAGUCAGACGACAUGCUAACGAUAAAAUACGAUCGGCAACGACGACAUCAGAAUCGAUCUUGAAGUCCUGUCGUACAUGACACAAGACAUCUAUUACAAUGUAUGUAUGUAGGUACAUUGAAAUAUUUAACAUGGUAGCUCACAUCGCUGUUAAAUUGAACAAGUUUCGUAAAUUGCUUCCUAUCAUCCUACUCGCGAUUGAAUACUUAUGCCGUUUUUCUUUAUUAUCCAGUUCCAACCUGGGUUGGAACUGGAUCAGAUCACAGUUUCAACCCCAACCCGAUUUCGGUUUCGCUUGUACAUACUAAAGUUUGUUUGACGUUGUUUGUUUACAUAUUUUCCGCCAAUCCAGUUCCAACCCAGGUUCAAAAAGAAAAACGGCAUUAGUUUAGAGCUCAACCACAGACAAACAGACGUAACACUGGCGAAAUUUUCAUCGACCACGCUUUUAACGAUCAUUUUAAAUCUUUAUAGUUUUUCUUUGGGCUUGUUCACAAAUGUCGUAACGCUGGAGGGGGAGGGUGGGUGUCCUUCAUGGUGUUACAGCUCGAACAAAAUAAAAUUUUCCCCAUAUAAACAGUGUUACGAAGGGGUGGGUGGGUGUUGAAAACGACCAAUUUUAGCGUUAUGACAUUUGUGAAUGAACCCUUUGCAUCGUUUUUCUAUGUAUUUGACGUUUCACAGUAGCGGCUUCUGUUGACGAUAUUGCACAUCGUAGUGUGUUGUGCAACAUUUCCACCAGGUGAUGAUAGUGUGAAAUGAGCGAUGGAUUUUCACGAAAAUUGUUUUAGGUGUUACGUCUGUUUGUCUGUAGCUCAACUAUUCAGUAGACUCCCAAAAUCCCGAUCAUCAGCCAACUGCUUCAAAUGGAAAGUUUUCCAUUGUCAAACUAAUCGCCUUAACAGUAGUAGUGUGGCCAUUUUUUAUGGUAAUUCAUCGAUAAAAAUCCCUAAAAGUCUACCAACGCAACGACAGCCUACGAAAGUCAGAAAGCUCUCUGCUGGAGCACGUCCGAAUCAGGCCGAAGAAAACAACUACUACGCAUUGAACAUAACACAACAAUUUAUAUGUAAAUUCGGGACAUCGUCCGGCUAAUUUAUGCCGCUGCUGCGCUCGGACUCUAGUCUGUAGGCUAGGUUGGUCCAGGUCCAGAGAGGCUCUAAGAGGAGCAUUGUAUUAGGUGGCCAUCGCAACGUGGAGUACGCGGACGCGGUUGAAAGCUCCCUCGAACUCCGAAACGAGAGCUUGAAACAACUUAACGCCAGCGUUAAUAAUUACCCAUUAAUACGUUUGGAUGAACGACGACGCGUGAAGCGGUGAAAACGCCGCCGUGCAUCAACAUUCAACACACUUGUUGAACUUCACUUUACUACAAUCUCAAGGACACUCGUCGUCGCCGUUGUUGCCGCGGUCGUUCCUCGUAGGUAUGAUCCAGCCUUUUGCGGUUUCCUGGAGUGCUCAAGGCGAGCCGAGAGGUCCGAGGGGCGAGACACAUACACACAUUCGAGGAGAGAACGACCUCGGCCGCUUCGGGACCUCUCUAAGCGUUGGCCGUCCGUUGAUCGGGUUGUGAACUUCUAAAAUAAAAAAGAAUCCACAAAAAAUAA
Aedes albopictus (Asian tiger mosquito) is the source of this 8396-nucleotide long non-coding RNA. RefSeq lists it as uncharacterized. Lineage: Eukaryota; Metazoa; Arthropoda; Insecta; Diptera; Culicidae. The record is from RefSeq and is a predicted model, not a curated record. The transcript has 2 exons.